Molecule: long non-coding RNA, 277 nt
Organism: Xiphophorus hellerii (green swordtail)
Lineage: Eukaryota; Metazoa; Chordata; Actinopteri; Cyprinodontiformes; Poeciliidae
Exons: 3
Source: RefSeq, a predicted model, not a curated record
GUGACGCCAGCAGAGACCAACAGAAGCAGCAGCAUCCGCCGGACAGAGACGCCAAAUCGGCCCAGCAGCUCCGGUCACCAGAGAGCCACCUUCAUCAUCACCUUCAUCAUCCUCCUGUAGAGGCUCUCUGAUUGGUCGCCUCCAACAUGCUCCGCCUCCUGCUCCUCUUCCUCUCUGCUGCCAUGUUGCUGCCAGGAGCUGCUGGACAGUUUAAAGUAUUUACUAAUAACACAGAGGUGGACAUCAGCUCAUGCCCCAUCACGUACUUUGGACAGAA